Molecule: ribosomal RNA, 253 nt
Filed under: uncultured bacterium
Lineage: Bacteria
Description: partial 16S ribosomal RNA
Rfam family: Bacterial small subunit ribosomal RNA
Source: RNAcentral
UACAGAGGGGGCAAGCGUUGUUCGGAAUUACUGGGCGUAAAGGGCGCGUAGGCGGCCCGCUAAGUCGAACGUGAAAUCCCCGAGCUCAACUCGGGAACUGCGUGUGAGACUGGCAGGCUCGAGGGCAGGAGAGGAACGCGGAAUUCCAGGUGUAGCGGUGAAAUGCGUAGAUAUCUGGAGGAACACCGGUGGCGAAGGCGGCGUUCUGGACUGUCUCUGACACUGAAGAACGAAAGCCAGGGGAGCAAACGGG